UUGCGUUGUAACAAAACGAAUAGAAAAACUUUCCAUUUAUUUUCCAUUUUCGAGCAUUACGAUAUGUUUGCACGCAAUUACGUACCAAGGUGUUACUGUGGCAAACGUGCAAUUUUGAAGCCAUGUUGGUCAAAUUGCAAUCUGGGGUGCAGACGUUGGAUGUGUAAACAAGUUGUAAGUUAUUAUUCUUGGAUGAAAUUUUUGUUAAUACUUUUUAUAUAACAUGUUAAUUAAUAGUUUUGUGUUAUUCUCUCAUUCGUAUGACGAAAAGAAAUGUGGUUUUAAUGAAUGGUAUGAUGAACCAAUUAAUCAAGAAUACGACAAAUCAUGUUUGCUAAAAAUUUGGAAUCUGACCGUUGAAUACGAACUCCAGAUCAUGAAACUACAAGAAUAAUUUGCGGCAUUGCAGGAGAAACUAAAAGAGGCAGAAGAAGAAAAAAAUAGGUUGGAGGAGAAAUUUAAGUGGUUGAAGCACAGAAUAAUGGGCGAUAGUGACUAAACAAAUACAUUGAUGCGUUGAGUGUAGUAUUUUAGUUUUAUGUUGUAUGUGUCAUGUAUUAUCUUUAAUUAGUAAAGAAUUUAAAUUUUAUGUUAAGCUGUCAUUUUUUUGUGUUGAAGUGUUAAACUAAUAAAUAUCUCGAGAAAUAAAAAC
RNAcentral lists this long non-coding RNA (652 nucleotides) under Nicotiana tabacum (common tobacco). RNAcentral describes it as "long non-coding RNA (NTAB_LNC017854)". Lineage: Eukaryota; Viridiplantae; Streptophyta; Magnoliopsida; Solanales; Solanaceae. The record is from RNAcentral.